AUUCACUCCCCCGCAGUUUUGAAUAAUAAUGAAAAACGAUAACUUUUGGAUUUUCACUGUCUAACCUUGGAGUCCACUUUCAAGUUCCUCUUUGGUCGCAAUCAAACAUAGUUUGUGAAUAGGUCUCUUGUAUAAGUUUCCCGCGCUAUCCCAUAUAGUUACACUUGGCACCAAGUUGUCUUGGCUUGGAUGAACUUCACGGACGAUCCCUUUCUUCCAGAAUCCCCUUCGCAGUGUUCCACCUUUUAACCCAGGGUGAAGAUUAAUAACAAAAUCCCC
This is a non-coding RNA of Paramuricea clavata, 279 nucleotides long. The record is from the annotation of a GenBank genome assembly. NCBI's taxonomy places the organism in Eukaryota, Metazoa, Cnidaria, Anthozoa, Malacalcyonacea, Plexauridae.